AUGACGUCUCCAAGCGCUCCCAAGGACAACUUUUUUGAGAAGGUUAUCAACCCCUAUCUCGCGGAGGUGCUGCAACACCCUCAAACCAUUGAGAUGCGUGAUGGGGUGCUGCACAUCCGCGAUGUGGAGGGACCAAAGCGUACCGGAAGCAUGGAGACAAAGCUCGAAGCUAUGGAGCAACAAGUUUUCAAGUGCCAAGGGAUGGUGGAACGUGGACUCAACGCCAACCAGAUGAUGAUCGCGGAAUUCACCAACAACCACAAGCUAGACGCCAAGAACAUUGGGGAUACCAUCUUCAAGAUUCAUGAGAAAAUCGAGCACCUCCAAGCCCAGAUCUAUGACCUGCAAAACCAAAACUGUGAGUAUGAAUAUAGAUUCAAGAGGAUGAGUUUGGCUGCAGAUUUGAGGAUCCCGGAGACUCGAUCAUCCUUCUAUGAUGGUGAGCCUAUGCCUUGGAAGACGGACGACAAGCCUACAUCAUCAACAACUCCUUCUUCACCACCUCCGAGGACAUAA
Molecule: ribosomal RNA, 516 nt
Filed under: Triticum aestivum (bread wheat)
Lineage: Eukaryota; Viridiplantae; Streptophyta; Magnoliopsida; Poales; Poaceae
Description: partial small subunit ribosomal RNA
Source: RNAcentral